RNAcentral lists this ribosomal RNA (301 nucleotides) under uncultured bacterium. RNAcentral's name for it is "partial 16S ribosomal RNA". It matches the Rfam family "Bacterial small subunit ribosomal RNA", at positions 509 to 807 of the family's 1533-position model. The record is from RNAcentral.
CAGCAGCCACGGUAACACAGAGGGUGCAAGCGUUAAUCGGAAUUACUGGGCGUAAAGCGCGCGUAGGUGGUUUGUUAAGUUGGAUGUGAAAGCCCCGGGCUCAACCUGGGAACUGCAUCCAAAACUGGCAAGCUAGAGUACGGUAGAGGGUGGUGGAAUUUCCUGUGUAGCGGUGAAAUGCGUAGAUAUAGGAAGGAACACCAGUGGCGAAGGCGACCACCUGGACUGAUACUGACACUGAGGUGCGAAAGCGUGGGGAGCAAACAGGAUUAGAUACCCCCGUAGUCCCUGUCUCUUAUAC